Molecule: ribosomal RNA, 810 nt
Filed under: uncultured bacterium
Lineage: Bacteria
Description: bacterial SSU rRNA
Rfam family: Bacterial small subunit ribosomal RNA
Source: RNAcentral
ACGGGUGAGUAACACGUAGGCGAUCUACCCUUCAGAGGAGGACAACCUCAGGAAACUGAGGCUAAACCUUCAUACGUUCACUGGUAGGGAUACUGGUGAAGAAAGAGUUACCCCUAGAGGGUAGCUGCUGAAGGAUGAGCCUGCGGCCCAUCAGGUAGUUGGUGAGGUAACGGCUCACCAAGCCGAAGACGGGUAACCGGUCUGAGAGGAUGUCCGGUCACACUGGGACUGAGACACGGCCCAGACUCCUACGGGAGGCAGCAGCAGGGAAUCUUGGGCAAUGGGCGAAAGCCUGACCCAGCGACGCCGCGUGGAGGAAGAAGUCCUUCGGGGCGUAAACUCCUGGACUGGGGGACGAGGAAGGACGGUACCCCAGUAGAAAGGGACGGCUAACUACGUGCCAGCAGCCGCGGUAAAACGUAGGUCCCGAGCGUUGUUCGGAUUCACUGGGUGUAAAGGGCGCGUAGGUGGUUGUCUGUGUCUCAUGUGAAAACUCAGGGCUCAACUCUGAGAUUGCGUGGGAAACUAGGCAGCUAGAGGACGGUAGAGGGGAGUGGAAUUCCCGGUGUAGCGGUAAAAUGCGUAGAUAUCGGGAGGAACACCGGUGGCGAAGGCGGCUCUCUGGGCCGAUCCUGACGCUGAGGCGCGAAAGCUAGGGGAGCGAACCGGAUUAGAUACCCGGGUAGUCCUAGCCGUAAGCGAUGGGUGCUAGGUGUUGGGGGGUAAAGACCCUUCAGUGCCGAAGCCAACGCGAUAAGCAUCCCACCUGGGGAGUACGGCCGCAAGGUUGAAACUCAAAUGAAUUGACGG